This is a long non-coding RNA of Gavialis gangeticus (Gharial), 2353 nucleotides long. RefSeq lists it as uncharacterized. The transcript has 2 exons. Lineage: Eukaryota; Metazoa; Chordata; Crocodylia; Gavialidae. The record is from RefSeq and is a predicted model, not a curated record.
GAUGCAGGCAGGGGCACAGUUUAAUGCACCUGAAUUUUCUGCGCAGAAAAUUCAGGUGAAUUCAUUGCACGUGUAGAAACACCCACUAUGCAUCAAAGUGUUGGAGAAUCAUGAAGUGCCUAUAGGAAUUUUAUUUACAAAAGGGCUUAAAGAUCAAACCAGCACAUUUCUUGCGAGCAGUUAUUUCUGUCGCAUGUUUAAGCACUGACUGAGAUAGGAUCCCCAUUGUUCUAGGCAUUGUGUUUGUGUACACAUGCAUAUGAAAAUGCAUAUGUGCACAUGUAAGAGACAACCCUUGCCUCAAACGAGCAGUUCACAAGGCAGGAAACAACAGGUCACAAGGAUUUUGUUUACCUUAUAUACAUAUGUUGUAAGAACAAAUCAACUCUCAUUGUCAGAACAGAUAGUAACAUGCAAAGUGUUUGUCUUAUGAUGUAAAUAUCAAUUUACAGUCCUCUGCUUAUUUUGCUCCCUUGUGCUGUUGUCAACAUUUGGGUAGUACACUUGGGACAGUGAAUAGAGAGCAACAAGUCAGCCAAUCACUCCACAAGGGCCAGAGCAGUCUGCAACCCACAUAAAACAAACAUAGAACAAGCACUUAAAUCUCAGUGUAGGGCAGGGGUGUCAACUUGUCAGGCCUAGUGGGUGAGAUGAGUGGUGUGGGGCCAACAUACAGGCUGGAUGAGUCACAAUGGGCUGUAUUGGACCCACAGACUAGCCCCAGCAUUCAGGGCUGGCCAGCUGUGGAUAGUGCCCCUUUGGCACAUUCUACCUGUGUUAUACAGAUCCAGUUCAAGACCCAUGGGUGGCAUAGUAGGCUGGAUGACAGGGUUCCGGAGGGUGGAUCUGGCCUGUGAGUCAUAUCUUUAAUGCCUCUGAUGCAGGGUAUUCACUUUGACCUGAUCUAGGAAUACAUAAAUAAAUAAACAGAAAACUUCUUCCAGGCCAUGCUGUCUGCCCAAAAUCAUUUGCAGUUUUUAAAUAAUAUUAAUUCCAGCUGCCUGGCUUCUGGUUAGCAUAGCAUCAAGGUUGAAGUUAACAUUUUUCUGAGCCUGUGGCUCCUGAAGUUUCUCACAGACACCAAACCAUUGUGACAUCAGGGUUUCUUCAUCUGAAAUCUGAUGUGCACAAAGCAGGCAGACUGGCACUGGAGUGUCAUUAGCAAUGGUUGUUCACUGCAGCUAUGACCUUAGCCUACCUAACUCUUACUUGAGUAAUGUUGGAGCUUGUUGGUGUUUUCAGUAUAGAAUGAUUCUCUUUUCUAGCUGCAAUUUAGAUUUAGAUUCACUCUGAAGGUCUGCAAAGCCACUAGAAAGAAACAUAACCUGUCUUCCACAGUAUGUCCAGUAUUACAUUCUGAUAGCAACUAAGGUAACCUAUGUCUGCAUAGGAGCCCAGAUGCCACAGCAGUGCUAUUUUGAAUCAUGCAGAGGAAGGGAGUCUGUUCCUAGCUCUCCUUGCAUUCCAGUCAUAGGCUUCUGUAUGUCUGUUAUUUGUUCUGGUGGGAAGGUAAUGUUACCACUUUUUAAACAAAAUGCAAAAAUGAUCACUGAUAGUUGUAAUUUUAGUUGAUACUGAAAAGAGAGAUCAUCUAGUUACAGUGGUAGUUUGGGGAGGGGGGGUGCAGUCUAGCUGCAGUCUUGAUGAUAGGCUAACAUAGGGGCUUGGUCUGUGAUGCCAGUUCUAAUAUGUAGUAUUUAUAUAGGGCAAAGUGUUAAGACUGGACUUGUGCUUUGACCUUUAAGAUAUUUUUAGAGUAUUACUUUCAGUGGAAAAGAAAGAGUCUCUUCAGUUUUUGGGCAUCAUGCAGAAGCUUAUAUACAAUUAUUCUCUUUUCCCCCUCCAGCUGAACCUAGAAAUAUGAUCACAAUGACUUGAUGGGAAAAGCAGUUGUAGGACAUGGAAAAGGAAGAGAAGUCUUAAAAACAAGUUUUACUCUAUGUAGCAAGUUCAACUAAUUGUCAUUUGUCAGAACUUGUAUCUGUUUUGUUGUAUUAUAUAUUCCAAGACUGCAGAAUCCCACGUUUUCCCCCCAAGCUAGAACAAUCCUCCUGGGAGGAGGUGUCUUCUUGCCACAUUAUCUUCUACCUUACAACCUAAAAUACUAUCCUGUAAAAUCUCUUAAUCUAAGGUUUUCCAACAAAGGAUGCUACAGCAACCAGAACAGUACGAUGCCAUUCUGAUAUCCAGGAUGUACAUAAUGAACCAGGAAUCUCAUUGUAUUUAUGGCUGAAACCCAAACCCAACGCAAUUUAAACUUUACACUUAGCCCCUUCCUUUACAAUUAUAUUUUGCCAUGUGAAAGUUUAUUCUGCAGUAGAAUUGUAAUUGUUCCCUUUGAAUUAACAAAAAA